CACGUAGGGCGCAAGCGUUGUCCGGAAUUAUUGGGCGUAAAGAGCUCGUAGGCGGUCUGUUGCGUCCGCUGUGAAAACUCGGGGCUUAACCCCGAGCCUGCAGUGGAUACGGGCAGACUAGAGGUAGGUAGGGGAGAAUGGAAUUCCCGGUGUAGCGGUGAAAUGCGCAGAUAUCAGGAGGAACACCGGUGGCGAAGGCGGUUCUCUGGGCCUUACCUGACGCUGAGGAGCGAAAGCGUGGGGAGCGAACAGG
RNAcentral lists this ribosomal RNA (253 nucleotides) under uncultured bacterium. RNAcentral describes it as "partial 16S ribosomal RNA". It matches the Rfam family "Bacterial small subunit ribosomal RNA", at positions 524 to 776 of the family's 1533-position model. The record is from RNAcentral.